ACUUAGAAGCGGCAACGAUGAUCGAAUCACAUCUGUUACCAUCCGUCUUUCAUCUGAAUAUGUGUACACUGAUCUGGACAACACGGAGGACACAUCAUACCUCUCCACAAUAACCAAUACUCAACAAAACAUAUAAUCUGUAGGUGAAAAAACUCGAGAUCAUACGCAAAACAUUGUUCCCUUCCUCGGUCUAAGAUAGAAGAUCAUCCUCCUCGACACACACCUAUAACCAAGGAGAGAGUAAUUCUCAUGGGGGAGCAUGAGAAAACAGAGAAACCUAUUCAGAGCUGUCCCGAUUGCUUCUCUCUUAGAGCCUCCAUGUUCUAUAUCAACACGAAAUAACAUGGUUUUGCUUUCAGACAGGACAGCCUUGUGUUAUAAGAAGUUUUUUUUGAAAAAAAAAAAAGGAAAAAGAGAGAAGCCUUGCUAAACCGCCAAAAGAGAAAACCCUUGAAGAGCGAUCAAGCCUAAACAAGACGACAAGUAGAUCACAUGGAACUCGGAAGCGGCAACGAUGAUAACGUAAGGAACGAAAGAGAUUAGAGAAACCCCUGAAGACUUAGCGUAGAGAAAACGCGUGGAAGAGAAUCAAUCAAGAAUCAUCCGUGAGAAGUGAAAACCCUAACGAUGAUCGGUCCAAGAAAUCGCGUUGAAACAUCCUCCUGCGAGACGACGUAGAUAACACAAAACACGUAAGGCAGAAAACAAAAGACAAGAGACGCGUUCAGAAGAAUAUCACCCGCGAUUACGCGUCUGAGAGGAGAUGAGAAUUCUCAAAGAG
Molecule: long non-coding RNA, 781 nt
Filed under: Brassica napus (rape)
Lineage: Eukaryota; Viridiplantae; Streptophyta; Magnoliopsida; Brassicales; Brassicaceae
Description: long non-coding RNA (BNAP_LNC001507)
Source: RNAcentral